Long non-coding RNA from Alnus glutinosa, 570 nucleotides. RefSeq lists it as uncharacterized. The transcript has 4 exons. Lineage: Eukaryota; Viridiplantae; Streptophyta; Magnoliopsida; Fagales; Betulaceae. The record is from RefSeq and is a predicted model, not a curated record.
CUGACAGAAACUGCAUUGCACUCCUCGGCCUUCAGGGUGGAUUGAUUUGUUGGGGGAGAGUGAUUCGAUCUUCUCUCGACAGCCCACUAAUUCUAGAAGGGCAAAAUGUCUGUACCCGUUUCGAAGGCUGACAGAGUACCACCGAUAGAGGAGGACAAAAUGUCUGUAUCCCCUCCGAAGACUGACAGAGUACCACCGAAUGAUAACCCCCCUGCCCUGCACCCGCCAAGUACAGCACCGAAGGACACCCAAGCAAAAGCUGGGACUGCGAAGAACUUGCCUUCUACAUCUAAGGAUAAGAAGACUACGCCAUGAUCGAGGGGACGGAGUCAGCAUCUACUUGCAGUACUAUCUGGUGUUACGUGACAUGCGUGUUUGUGUUUAACUAUUUUAUGUAUGUGGCUGCAUUUUAUUUUUAAAAUAAGACUCCAUCUACAUUCUGGUGUCAAAUGUGGUGGAAGAGAAGUGUGCUGUUGCCAAGCUUCUAUAUGAGACUCCUGAACAACUCACAGUGGGUGUUGAAUGUUUUAUUAUUUAUGUCGUUAUAUCAUAACUUUGCAUAACAACUCA